Molecule: long non-coding RNA, 2079 nt
Filed under: Populus trichocarpa (black cottonwood)
Lineage: Eukaryota; Viridiplantae; Streptophyta; Magnoliopsida; Malpighiales; Salicaceae
Description: long non-coding RNA (PTRI_LNC002184)
Source: RNAcentral
UGCUUUGAGAGGGUGUCCCCUGCACUCAAGGAGAUCCUGCUCAAGUUAUACCAGUAAGCACUUUUGAUCCAUCAAGAUUCUCAAGGUAGAAUUUUACUUGUUGCUAAUCCUCAUUUAUCAUAUCCGAGAUGAUUGAAUUUCUUUGUUUAAAGGUAACUUCUGCAUACAACAUGAUUUAUCAUUGGCUUACCCGAAAUAAAAAGCAGGAAAUUAAGAAAUAAAUGUAUGAUAAGUUCUGCAAAGGUGUCUCAUCGACUCCAUGUAACAAGUCUCUGCCUCUACAGAACUAUCUCAUCAGUAUAUUUCAUAUAGAAAUAGAAAAUGUUCUGUGGAUGCAAUUCUAGAUAUUCAAGCUCUAGUAGUCGAGGAAAGGAAAAGGAAACUAACAAAAUGCUAACCUUGAAAAUAGUAGGCUUUCAUUGCUCUGGUCAGUUUUGAAAUUGCUUUCUUCUCCUUCACAUUCCAAGUAAGCAAACAUGCAUCUCAAGUUGCAUGGAUGAUCAACAAAAACGAUGAUGAAAAUUGAUUCUCUUCGUUUCAUGAUAGUGCUGAGAAGCCUGUGGAGAUUGAUCAUCACUUGUAUGAAUUCGGGUGCGUGGAAUACCAUGUUCAGGUUAGUCUAUUGCACUCUUAGCAUGAUAAUUACAGAUAACUUAUGUCAACACCAACAGUUGGAAUGACUCAGCAUCUGGAAAUCUGCAGUUGUGGAAAUAAUUGAGAUUAAUGGCUGUGUGCAUGCUAAAAAAGGACAUGCCUACUAUCUGUCAAUUUGAGCUAUCCUGACAUAUAUAGGCUUUCAACAAAAUGUUGAGAAUUAUUCUGGUAAUCAUCCUGUAAUGUUCACAGUCUUCUGCAGCUGAUCCACAAAAUAACUACCUGUCAUUAUCAACUCCACUACUGUCCCAGGGAGCCCUGCUAUCAUGUGGUUUGUCAUCGUACACUACGCAGAUGGUAAAGCAAGUUUGCUCGGAUGCUGUGGAGAUUGUUGAACCUGCAAAAGAAGGAUAUCAGCUUACCCUAAAGCUAAAUCUUGCAAAGAUUCCACGUGGAAAAGGUUUGCUACUUCUCCAAAUCAUCGCGAUAACAAUAAUUAUAUAUAAAAAAACAAGAGCUUAUUGGUACUUUGUGGCACAUACUAGUGCUGUCUUGAAUUUAAGCAUGUUAUUCCUUCUAUUCACCUAAAAAUAGAGAGUGGUUUUCAAUAUAUUAUAAAAUCAGUACGGAAUAUACAGAGAACAUAGAUUCAAACUAUCAGUCUACAAAAGAAGAAAGAAAGCUUGAACGAGAAGAAAGUUGUGUAAAUUCUUUACACAAACAAGAGAUACAAGAACUCCAUGCAGUAAACCUGAGUUCAGGUGUUACAGCAAAGACAAAUUAACAGUACAAAGAAAAGUUCAACCACCCAAACUAGACAUUUUAAACCUGACAUUUUGAAUCUUUGAUCAACUACAGUACCAGAUCACUGUAGUACUUAGUUAGCUGUCCUCUUAAAUAACAGGUUUCCUGCUUCUGCCAGUUCCACCGUCCACAAUCUCAGAUUUGAAGACAUCCAUACCAAGUUUUCUGUGACACUGAGAGCAGGAAAUAAAGAGAUCAGCUGAUAAUACUCCUGAAAAGAGUCAACAACUCAGAAAAUAGUACCAUCUGUUUAGGUGGAGAGCUGAAAUAAUAAUAAGAGCUGAACAAAAUAUUUGAAAAAAGGACUUCUACUAAAUGUAGACAAAGCAUUCAACUCAAGAUCCUAAAACUAAUUAGAACUAGUGAAAAAGAAAUUUUAUGCUGAAUGACUUGUAAUUGAAGCCUGUGUAAUCUUCAAGAUUUGGAGCAUGAAAAUAAUAACAUCAUGAUCUUCCUUAUCCAAGCAUUUUGUAAGGAAUGAAAGGAUAACGAAGAAAAUCUUGAUAGGAAAUGUUUAUUUUUUUGUCCAUUUUCAUACCAUGCUGUGAAAUUUCUGCACUUCAUAAUCAUGCUGAUACAAAUGUUCCUUUCCAGACCCUUACAAAGUGAUUACGCAAAUUUCCUCAGUGCAAGCAGUUAUACUAUGUUCCCAGCUGAAAGAAAUGUUGAGAAAUGUCAAUU